This 497-nucleotide ribosomal RNA is filed under the name uncultured bacterium. RNAcentral describes it as "partial 16S ribosomal RNA". It matches the Rfam family "Bacterial small subunit ribosomal RNA", at positions 28 to 507 of the family's 1533-position model. The record is from RNAcentral.
GAUGAACGCUGGCGGCGUGCCUAAUACAUGCAAGUCGAGCGAACGGACGAGAAGCUUGCUUCUCUGAUGUUAGCGGCGGACGGGUGAGUAACACGUGGAUAACCUACCUAUAAGACUGGGAUAACUUCGGGAAACCGGAGCUAAUACCGGAUGAUAUUUUGAACCGCAUGGUUCAAAAGUGAAAGACGGUCUUGCUGUCACUUAUAGAUGGAUCCGCGCUGCAUUAGCUAGUUGGUAAGGUAACGGCUUACCAAGGCAACGAUGCAUAGCCGACCUGAGAGGGUGAUCGGCCACACUGGAACUGAGAAACGGUCCAGACUCCUACGGGAGGCAGCAGUAGGGAAUCUUCCGCAAUGGGCGAAAGCCUGACGGAGCAACGCCGCGUGAGUGAUGAAGGUCUUCGGAUCGUAAAACUCUGUUAUUAGGGAAGAACAUAUGCGUAAGUAACUGUGCACAUCGUGACGGUACCUAAUCAGAAAGCCACGGCUAACUACGUG